This 377-nucleotide unclassified non-coding RNA is filed under the name uncultured fungus. RNAcentral describes it as "sequence contains ITS1". The record is from RNAcentral. Lineage: Eukaryota; Fungi.
UUAACUUAAAUUUAUAGUACUCAGACAGCAAAUUACAGCGAGUUUGGGGUCCUCUGGCAGGCACUGACCAGCAUAGCCGGUAGCCCAAAGACAGGCCUGCCAAAGCAACUAAAGUAUUGUAAACAAAGGGUGGGAGACAUACUCUGAAGAGAGUAUAUUAUCUCGGUAAUGAUCCUUCCGCAGCGGAAGUAUAGCUGCUACUGAUAGCAACCCCCCGAUCAACUCUCAACCCCAAAGGGGCCACCUCCAUUUGAUCUGUGAGCCUAUUCUUAGGCUGCUGGUAUUACCCACGGUAAAUUCCAGCACAGUAGAGAUGUUGCCUGCUGAGAGACUUUCUGUUUUGGCGAACCUGCAAUAAUAAUGUUCACCUACGGAAA